CGGCCCAGACUCCUACGGGAGGUAGCAGUAGGGAAUCUUCCCCAAUGACGAAAGUCUGAUGGAGCAACGCCGCGUGAGUGAAGAAGGUUUUCGGAUCGUAAAACUCUGUUGUUGGAGAAGAAUGUAUCUGAUAGUAACUGAUCAGGUAGUGACGGUAUCCAACCAGAAAGCCACGGCUAACUACGUGCCAGCAGCCGCGGUAAUACGUAGGUGGCAAGCGUUGUCCGGAUUUAUUGGGCGUAAAGCGAGCGCAGGCGGUUUCUUAAGUCUGAUGUGAAAGCCUUCGGCUCAACCGAAGAAGUGCAUCGGAAACUGGGAAACUUGAGUGCAGAAGAGGACAGUGGAACUCCAUGUGUAGCGGUGAAAUGCGUAGAUAUAUGGAAGAACACCAGUGGCGAAGGCGGCUGUCUGGUCUGUAACUGACGCUGAGGCUCGAAAGCAUGGGUAGCAAACAGGAUUAGAUACCCUGGUAGUCCAUGCCGUAAACGAUGAGUGCUAGGUGUUGGAGGGUUUCCGCCCUUCAGUGCCGCAGCUAACGCAUUAAGCACUCCGCCUGGGGAGUACGACCGCAAGGUUGAAACUCAAAGGAAUUGACGGGGGCCCGCACAAGCGGUGGAGCAUGUGGUUUAAUUCGAAGCAACGCGAAGAACCUUACCAGGUCUUGACAUCCUUUGACCACUCUAGAGAUAGAGCUUUCCCUUCGGGGACAAAGUGACAGGUGGUGCAUGGUUGUCGUCAGCUCGUGUCGUGAGAUGUUGGGUUAAGUCCCGCAACGAGCGCAACCCUUAUUACUAGUUGCCAGCAUUUAGUUGGGCACUCUAGUGAGACUGCCGGUGACAAACCGGAGGAAGGUGGGGACGACGUCAAAUCAUCAUGCCCCUUAUGACCUGGGCUACACACGUGCUACAAUGGAUGGUACAACGAGUUGCGAGACCGCGAGGUUUAGCUAAUCUCUUAAAACCAUUCUCAGUUCGGAUUGUAGGCUGCAACUCGCCUACAUGAAGCCGGAAUCGCUAGUAAUCGCGGAUCAGCAUGCCGCGGUGAAUACGUUCCCGGGCCUUGUACACACCGCCCGUCACACCAUGAGAGUUUGUAACACCCAAAGCCGGUGAGGUAACCCUUCGGGGAGCCAGCCGUCUUAAGG
Molecule: ribosomal RNA, 1144 nt
Filed under: Latilactobacillus sakei
Lineage: Bacteria; Bacillati; Bacillota; Bacilli; Lactobacillales; Lactobacillaceae
Description: bacterial SSU rRNA
Rfam family: Bacterial small subunit ribosomal RNA
Source: RNAcentral